CCUACGGGGGGCAGCAGUGAGGAAUAUUGGUCAAUGGGCGGAAGCCUGAACCAGCCAAGUCGCGUGAGGGAAUAAGGCCCUACGGGUCGUAAACCUCUUUUGCCGGGGAGCAAGGGCCGGGACGCGUCCCGGCCCGGAGAGUACCCGGAGAAAAAGCAUCGGCUAACUCCGUGCCAGCAGCCGCGGUAAUACGGAGAAUGCGAGCGUUAUCCGGAUUUAUUGGGUUUAAAGGGUGCGUAGGCGGGCUUUUAAGUCAGCGGUAAAAAUUCGGGGCUCAACCCCGUCUGGCCGUUGAAACUGGGGGC
Molecule: ribosomal RNA, 305 nt
Filed under: uncultured bacterium
Lineage: Bacteria
Description: bacterial SSU rRNA
Rfam family: Bacterial small subunit ribosomal RNA
Source: RNAcentral